CAGCCGCCGCGGGAAUACAGAGGGUGCGAGCGUUAAUCGGAUUUACUGGGCGUAAAGCGUGCGUAGGCGGCUUUUUAAGUCGGAUGUGAAAUCCCUGAGCUUAACUUAGGAAUUGCAUUCGAUACUGGGAAGCUAGAGUAUGGGAGAGGAUGGUAGAAUUCCAGGUGUAGCGGUGAAAUGCGUAGAGAUCUGGAGGAAUACCGAUGGCGAAGGCAGCCAUCUGGCCUAAUACUGACGCUGAGGUACGAAAGCAUGGGGAGCAAACAGGAUUAGAUACCCCAGUAGUCCCUGUCUCUUAUAC
Molecule: ribosomal RNA, 301 nt
Filed under: uncultured bacterium
Lineage: Bacteria
Description: partial 16S ribosomal RNA
Rfam family: Bacterial small subunit ribosomal RNA
Source: RNAcentral